Molecule: transfer RNA, 94 nt
Filed under: Chloroflexota bacterium
Lineage: Bacteria; Bacillati; Chloroflexota
Description: Chloroflexi bacterium (sediment metagenome) tRNA-Ser
Rfam family: tRNA
About the family: Transfer RNA (tRNA) molecules are approximately 80 nucleotides in length.
Source: RNAcentral
GGAGGGAUCGCAUAGUGGCCUAGUGCGGGCGCCUGCUAAGCGCUUGUGGGGCCCUAAAGCUCCACCCCGGGUUCGAAUCCCGGUCCCUCCGCCU